UACGUAGGGACCAAGCGUUGUUCGGAUUUACUGGGCGUAAAGGGCGCGUAGGCGGCUUAACAAGUCACUUGUGAAAUCUCCGGGCUUAACUCGGAACGGCCAAGUGAAACUGUCAAGCUAGAGUGCUGAAGGGGCAAUCGGAAUUCUUGGUGUAGCGGUGAAAUGCGUAGAUAUCAAGAGGAACACCUGAGGUGAAGACGGGUUGCUGGGCUGACACUGACGCUGAGGCGCGAAAGCCAGGGGAGCGAACAGG
RNAcentral lists this ribosomal RNA (253 nucleotides) under uncultured bacterium. RNAcentral's name for it is "partial 16S ribosomal RNA". It matches the Rfam family "Bacterial small subunit ribosomal RNA", at positions 524 to 776 of the family's 1533-position model. The record is from RNAcentral.